RNAcentral lists this non-coding RNA (241 nucleotides) under Plasmopara halstedii. Its description in RNAcentral is "Eukaryotic large subunit ribosomal RNA". The stretch from base 69 to 241 matches the Rfam family "Eukaryotic large subunit ribosomal RNA", at positions 2825 to 2929 of the family's 3401-position model. Lineage: Eukaryota; Oomycota; Peronosporomycetes; Peronosporales; Peronosporaceae. The record is from Rfam by way of RNAcentral.
CAUGUUGUGUGAACUACCUACUUUUCUUUGUGGUUGGCAACAACUAUAUAUCUAGCGCUUACCACAGGGAUAACUGGCUUGUGGCAGCCAAGCGUCCAUAGCGACGUUACUUUUUGAUUCUUCGAUGUCGGCUCUUCCUAUCAUUGGAGUUGUAUAUUCCUUAAUUCAGGUUUAUCAGAAUCUGAGGCACUUAUCAGUAUAGGGAAGGAUUAAGGCAUAUUGACCAUGAUAAAUGUCAUUU